AUUGAACGCUGGCGCAACGCCUUAACACAUGCAAGUCGAACGGCAGCACAGCAUAGCAAUAUGUGGGUGGCCAAGUGGCCGAACGGGUGAGUACAACAUCGGAACAUACCUUGUAGCGGGGAAUAACUGAUCGACAGAUUAGCUAAUACCGCAUAACAUCUGAGGAUUAAAGCUGGGGACCGCAAGGCCUGGCACUACAAGAUUGGCCGAUGCCUGAUUAGAUAGUUGGCGGGGUAAAAGCCCACCAAGUCAACGAUCAGUAGCAGGUCUGAGAGGAUGAUCUGCCACACCGGAACUGAGAACGGUCCGGACUUCUACGGAAGGCAGCAGUGGGGAAUAUUGGACAAUGGACGCAAGUCUGAUCCAGCGAUGCCGCGUGAGUGAAGAAAGCCUUCGGGUCGUAAAGCUCUUUUACUUGGGAAGAAAAGUCUGUGU
Molecule: ribosomal RNA, 435 nt
Filed under: uncultured bacterium
Lineage: Bacteria
Description: bacterial SSU rRNA
Rfam family: Bacterial small subunit ribosomal RNA
Source: RNAcentral